Pygocentrus nattereri (red-bellied piranha) is the source of this 3385-nucleotide long non-coding RNA. The record is from Ensembl. Lineage: Eukaryota; Metazoa; Chordata; Actinopteri; Characiformes; Serrasalmidae.
AUGAGGUCAGUGUUCGUGGGGUUGGUGCUGUUUGCUCUCGUUCCUCUGAAUGAUGCCGCCUGCUUCAUGGCGUUGCUGAAAGGAGGCGCCACUCAUUGUCAGGACCUCUUAGAUAAGACCUGGCAUCCUGUGGGAUCCUCCUGGACCAACAGCAAAUGUGAUCAGUGUGACUGCAGUGCUGAUGGAAUGCGCUGCUGUAAUGGAAUGCCAACGGUGCACGUUACAGGUGACUGCACAGUGGUAUACGAUUAUGACACCUGUACAUUUGAUGUCAUUCCUAAGAAAAACGGCACAGUUCCAUGCACUGCCAUGAGCUCUGGAAAGUGAAAUAAAGUGAAAUUGGUGUAAAGAAAAGAAAGCCGAAUUCAGUAAUUCUACAUGUGAGAUAAAUUUAACCAAAACAUUCUUAAUAAUGAAGGUUGAUAACUGAUACUGAGUUAUUUCUAGCUAGCUGGGAAAACUGUAUAGCUAAACUGCCUUAAAGAUGUGUACUACAAUCUUUAGGACCUUAAUAAUGAUGGUGGAUUUGUGGCAUAUUAAAGAAAAUAUUUCUAUUCUGCUCCUUUGAGUUGUCAUUCCUGCAACAAUCCUUUAGACUGUAGUAAGAUCACUGUCAACUCUGAAAUCCACAGCAUGAUACUCCCACCACCAAACUUUACUUUAGGUAUAUCUGGACAUUGAAUCAGUUUUGAAACACAAAAUCCACAAUACCAGUAUUUUAAAUUAUUUAUGCAAUCACACUUUCGGCAAGAGCGAGAAGAAAAUCCACUUUUUAUUCAAUAAAAUCAAUCUAGUAUUGUAUUAUUAGUAGUAUUAUUUGUGUAAGGGAUAAAAGUUACAGGUUAAAAACAUUGUGAAAUAAUACAUGAAAACAUCUCCCAAAGUGGAAAGGUUACAAACAGAGUUUCUGAUAAACUUUUAAAAACAAAUAUUGGUCAAUCAUGGACGUUGUCACCAACAAAAUUACUUUUAAAACGGAUUUUGGACAUUGAUUGACGUUAAUAGCCAAUGCCGGCAGUAUGAUUGGGUUUAGCAGCCCCAAGCCCACACAUGAGAUCAAGUUUACUUGUAAUAUUGAAAUGUUAAAGAAAAAACUGAAAGAGAUAUUAAAGUAAAAGAGAAAUGAAAAUUUGAUCAGUAAGUGUAAUUGUGAGGUGUUUGCUAAGUGUUGCUCCCUCUUGAGCUACCAACACCAGUGCCAGUUCUAUGUAAUAAUCGACAUAAGCAGCGGCUUAAGGCCCUGCAACUCUCAGCUGGCAAGCUAUGUUAUGUUAGCCAUGUUUACCAAACUUGGUGACAAAAGCAUUAAUUAUGCCCAGCAACGGUCACUUGAUUAUUGAAUGGCGUUUUCUCCAGUGCCCUGAGAAAAUAUUUUAUUGCACUGCUAAUUGGUUAAAGGCAGUGCACUAAAUCUGAUGAAGAAUUAGGUUGUUAUUGGAAUUCAGGUUGUUGUAAAAUGAUUUUUGAAGUCAUAGGCCAGAUGUGGUAGUCUGACAGCCCUGCUUAAAGGAAAGUAUAUGAAAUACUGACAGCAAAAAUGGGUACUGCAGUCCAAAUUCUAAUUUUCUUCUAAAUAGAGAGUCUGCCCCUGCCCCCUACUCCCAAGACUCAAUGCUUAUGCGGGUUGCCAGGUUGAGGACACUGAACUUACACAAACAAGUGCAAUGUUAAACUUUAACAAUGGCAAGCGAUGACAAACAAUGACAAUUCAUGCCCUGUAUCUAAUGUAUACAUUUGCUCAGUUUUUUUUAUAACUCUGUCUAUGUUGGCUAGAUGGCUAGAUGCAUGGCUGGCUAUAUACAGUAGCCAAAGCUAAGCCCAGAGCCAACUGUCCAACUGUCCACUGCUUCAAAAAUACUGGAAUGAGGCUGAAGUCAGCUUUUUUGAUGUUGCCAGUUCUACCUUAGAUGGUGCCACAGUUGCAUUUGCACCUCAGGCUGUUUGCUGAUUUCUGGUUUGAAUUUGCCCAUUCGACUUUAAAUGGUGCAGCAGUUGCAUUCUGGCGCCUCAGGCUAUUUGUGGGAUUGUUGUUCUAAUUUUCCCAUUCCACAUUUAAGAUGGAACUGGAAAAUACAAACAACAAGCCAGUGCAAUUGGAAGUCAACUUCAGCCUCUUCUGCUUUGGUAACCCAGCUGCACGCAGACCAGAUUAUGAAUGCUAGUACUCAAAUGUUGAAAUCACUUAAAAUGUCCAUCCCUGCUGAAAAAUUAGGUAAGGUUAACUAACUUCAGCUGAAGUCUAGUGCUUACCUGUUUUGGACAUGCGUCUUAAAUUCCUUGAGGGCUCUAAACGGACUGUCUUUCGAAUGCAUCGGCAAUAUUUACUCGCAUUUUACUGCAUUUCUGGUCAUGCAGCUUUUUAUACGAAGGCUUUUUAGGUCAGGAUGAAAUUUGUUUGGAUGCUUCCAUGGCUGCAGCACACCGUGUUUGCCUGCUUAUGCGUUACAUAACCCAGGGUGUUGAAAUGGUACUGAGAAAUGGGCAGUUGGUGGGAUCAUGGGUCAAAACACAAACAGACUUUCCUUCCAUAAUUUUUAACUUACCAUGUUUUCUUAAUUUCUGAUAACAUAGAGUAUCAUGGUAAAUUUAUGAUUUAGUAGAGUAAUGGUAUUACAUAUUAUUCCUUUAAGAAUAUCCAGAAAAAGUACAUAUAAACUGAAUUGAAUGGAAUGAACCAGAAGUCGUGGGCAGUCGUGGGCUGGAGGUUAGGGAUCUGGCCCUGUAACCAGAAGGUUCUAAAGCAGGAGUGUCCGAUCUUAUUUGAUGAUAAGAGUCAGAGUGAUUGCAGGUUUUUAUUCCAACACGACAGCAACUGAUUAAACAAGUGGAAUCAGGUCAACAAAACUGGCAGCCACAUUGGCCCUUUGCAGAUAAGAUUAGACCCCCUUGUUCUAGAGUCUUUCAGUAAUCUGACACAGGCAUGGCAUACCAAACAGCUGACCUACUCCUUUCAUCAAGAAGGGGAAAAACUGAAACACUCCUUACAACAAACCUGCAGUGAGAACGGCACUAGCAGUAUUAUUAGGUUAAGAGACGUGAAAAGCUGAAGGAAUGUGUAAAGCUUGACACACUAACCUGAUCAUCUGGAGGAGACUGUUGUGAAGGAUGUGACUGAGAAGGCAGAGAUGGUGCAGCUGUGUCGCUAACUAGGCUAGCUACUGUAACUGAUGUUAGCUAGGUCCAGAAACAAAUAACAUGUUGGCAUCAUCCACUGAGGGGAAAAUACUUUGUGUAGGACACUAAGUCCUCAUCAGUAUCCACAGAUUAGCUCUGUUUUUGAAUAAUUAAAGACGUUCCUCUGCCUGAUUCUAUAUAUAUUUAUUUUUUUUGCUGUUGCUAAAAAUGGUAAGCACUGCCAUUAUAUUACAUUGUUUUUGUUUUUCCC